GGGUUAGUUCAGUUGGUAGAGCGUCAGUUUGUGGCACUGAAUGUCGUGGGUUCGAGUCCCAUACU
This 65-nucleotide transfer RNA is filed under the name bovine gut metagenome. It matches the Rfam family "tRNA", at positions 6 to 65 of the family's 71-position model. From Rfam's summary of the family: Transfer RNA (tRNA) molecules are approximately 80 nucleotides in length. Their secondary structure includes four short double-helical elements and three loops (D, anti-codon, and T loops). The record is from RNAcentral.